CCACCCGAGGACGAGCCCUCCCCAACGUCGGCAGUCAGACUGAAGCUUAUGAGAAGCUGUCAAUACUGAAUGAAGUCUAUGAGCAAGAACUUGUCUCACUUGGCAUUGAUACGAAGGCCAUUAAGGUUGAUAUCGAGAAAAGAUUUGCUAAACAGAAACAAGAAAGAGAAAACCUCAGAGAGAGAUAGAGGGAAAAGAUGAGGCAUAGAAAGAAGAUGAUCGAGGCAAAGAAAUGGAAGAAGUUAAGGAUGACAGAGCCGACAUGGACAUUGAAGUUGAGGAGGUACGAUUGUAGCAUACAAGCAUAUUUAUAUAUCAAAGCUAUCCUAGAAGAAAAGGAGGUCAUGGACAUUGAGGCUUUACAAAAGGAGUCUGAGAUGUUAAGGGCAUGACUUGCUGCUCAAAUUAUAUGCGAAGACUGAGAACUGAAAAAGCCUACACUAAAGUUAGAUGCAGAUGAUCCAAAAUAUUUUUUGUAUUUUGGAGGUAAUGAUGUACCAUGAUUGAGUGGAAGUAUUAGACAAACAUGUAUAACAUAAUUUUGUGAUGGAUGUGGCUAAUUUUUUUUCUUUGUAAAGUUUGAAACUU
This is a long non-coding RNA of Asparagus officinalis (garden asparagus), 588 nucleotides long. RefSeq lists it as uncharacterized. The record is from RefSeq and is a predicted model, not a curated record. The transcript has 4 exons. NCBI's taxonomy places the organism in Eukaryota, Viridiplantae, Streptophyta, Magnoliopsida, Asparagales, Asparagaceae.